Molecule: unclassified non-coding RNA, 427 nt
Filed under: plant metagenome
Description: partial contains 5.8S ribosomal RNA, internal transcribed spacer 2, and large subunit ribosomal RNA
Rfam family: Bacterial small subunit ribosomal RNA
Source: RNAcentral
GGAAUAUUGCACAAUGGGCGCAAGCCUGAUGCAGCCAUGCCGCGUGUAUGAAGAAGGCCUUCGGGUUGUAAAGUACUUUCAGCGGGGAGGAAGGUGUUGAGGUUAAUAACCUCAGCAAUUGACGUUACCCGCAGAAGAAGCACCGGCUAACUCCGUGCCAGCAGCCGCGGUAAUACGGAGGGUGCAAGCGUUAAUCGGAAUUACUGGGCGUAAAGCGCACGCAGGCGGUCUGUCAAGUCGGAUGUGAAAUCCCCGGGCUCAACCUGGGAACUGCAUUCGAAACUGGCAGGCUAGAGUCUUGUAGAGGGGGGUAGAAUUCCAGGUGUAGCGGUGAAAUGUGUAGAGAUCUGGAGGAAUACCGGUGGCGAAGGCGGCCCCCUGGACAAAGACUGACGCUCAGGUGCGAAAGCGUGGGGAGCAAACAGGA